This is a non-coding RNA of Labrus bergylta (ballan wrasse), 2959 nucleotides long. The record is from RefSeq and is a predicted model, not a curated record. Lineage: Eukaryota; Metazoa; Chordata; Actinopteri; Labriformes; Labridae.
CUGGAGCCUGAAACACACACACACACACACACACACACACACACACACACACACACACACACACACACACACACACACACACACACACACACACACACACAGGACAUUGAACACAUGAGUACAAGUGAAGUCAUUCAAUACAAAGUAUGACAGAGACCAUCAACUCAUUAGUUUUGUUCACAGUUUGACAAACAGGCUGCAGUAAAGAAUGUUGUCAUCACAUGUAAAAACAUCAUGAAAUGAUGAUCAAAAUGAUGAGUCAUUCAUCAAUCAGGAUCAUUUGUUAUGACAGUAACAAUAUCAUAAAGACACUUUGUGAAAUAUGAAACAACUGUCCUGAAAUAACAAUUAACAAUCUUUUUUCUAACCAACUAUCUAACACUUAGAAAUGAGGAAAUAAUCCAGAGCAUGUUUUUCAUUGAAAAAACUAACUCAUCAAAAACUUUAAACAUUUGAAACACGAGAAGUUUAGAAGUUUGAAUUCUUCAUAUCACAUUGUAAGAAACAUUUUAGAGAUGAUUCAACAAAGGUUUAGAAAGGAUCAAACAUGCCGUUUAUAUUUGGACAUGAAUUGUCACAUUUUGUAAUUUGAUCUGAACUGUUCAACAUUCCUCAAACAUCAACAUACUUCAGAAUUGACAGAAACUAUUUCAUACAAAUGUUGAAACCUUUUUGAAAGCUUUCCGUUUCAUUCCAAGACAUAGUCUGGUGUCAGAAAGAGAACUAAAUAUAAAUGUGUGUUGUUCACACAAAAAUAUAUCUGAACAAUGAGUUAAAUAACAAAUGAUGAUUACUGAUCAGUUUGAAUAAGAAUGAUCAAAUCUCUCUCAUUUCAUGAUGAGUUUCAAAGUACUUACUCGUCACAAUCAGCUUGGUGCCUUGUCCGAAUACCACAGUGAUUCAGUUUGUAUACAUGGCUGUACAAAAACCUCCUGACUCUCACUAAUGAGGGGAGUGGAACUGAAACAUCCUGUUGAGAGCAACUUUCACUGUCAACAUGUCAUUCUUUCAUCAGUCUGCUAACAUUACAACAACACUGAUGGACUUUUAUCAAACUCUUUUCACCCUGAAGAACACUUUGUUUAGUAUCCUUUCUUGUUUUGUUCAAGUUUCUUCAUGAUUGUACCAAAAAGAAACCUUUAUAACACGAUGUAAAUGGCCUCUCUGUUUGGAGUUUGCUCCCGUGCAUGCGUGGGCUCUCUCCAGGUACUCUGGAUUCCUCCCACAGUCCAGACAUGCUCAUUAGGUCAAUUGGUGACUCUACAUUGCCAGUAGUUUCCAUCUGUCUUCAUGGAUAAAGGUAAAGUGCAUUUUCAUAAAAUGGUAUGUUGAGUACAAAAAAGGGUUACUUUUCUUAAACACAACAAAUCAAACAAGAAAAAUGUUUAAAGAGAUUCUUGUAAAGGUGGUUUAUCGACUUACUUUCUACAUGUGUUGGUGUCUCAUAUUCUGUGAAGUGUAAAAUCUUCUCUGCAUGAACACAAGACAUAAUGAAGAGGCUGCUGCUACAGAAAAUACAACACCAUAGUAAAGAACACACAAACACACACAAUGACAAGGUGAGAAUGUGUGUGUGUUUGUGUGUAUGAAAUCAAUUGUUUCCGAAUCAAUGUGAAACACUGUCACUAACCCAGUGAUUGUAUGCCUGUGAAUUAGACAGAACAUACAGAGAGAACAUGUCAGUAUCACAAUUCCUCUCUUUGGACAGACAGUGACUGAAGACUGCAGCACAUGUGAAGGUGGAAGCAAACUGUCUGCUGCUCCAGAGCUCCUCUACUAUAAUACUUCAAAUGAAACCUCGUAUGUGAUCCUGUGGUCCCAGCCUGACUCACACAGACCCUGUGUCAGGAGAACUGGUAGAUGUCUAGGCUCUGUGCAACAUGCAACAAGCUGCAGUCUAUACUGAGCAGUAAGCUGGAUGUGAUGGAGAGUAUAUUUUAUUCAAAUAGAUAUACUGGACAAACUCCAGUCAGGUUGAUGGACUGAAACUCCCCCUGAUCUUAUAAGACAGCAGACAGGACGGGUAAAAAGAAGAGAUGACACCUCUUCUUUUUGAUGACAAGGUUACAGACAGUUUGUCUGUCAGAUAAGAGAAGCACAUUUGAGAAGUUAAGAAAAACACAGCAAGUGUUCCUUUGAAUCUAUCUGCUCAGGGAAUGUAGACAUGUUGUGUUUUUGCAUCAGUUCUGGACCUGUUGAUGAACGUGUGAGACAAGAGCUGACUCAAAGAACAGGAGACACAACAUGAUAAUUCUUUAACCAGAGAAUAUUUAACCAACAUUGAAAAAAUCACACAAGAUGAAUAAUAGUGUAUUGAAAUGUAUGCACUGUAAUAUUAAUAGCGUUGAAUUUCUUUUGUGGCUUCAUUGUGGUCAAAGUUAAGUGCAGUGACAAAAAGCAGAAGUGUUCAGUGAGGAGGUUUUUGUCACGGUGUAAAUCACUGUGAUACGUACUCACUGACAGAGCUGUCAUAUGUCUUACAGUAAUAAACUGCUGAGUCUCUCUCCUCCACAGUGCUGAUGAUCAAACGAUAAUCUGAUUGUGACUGAUGAGUGGAUGUGAACUUUGGAGAGGAGAAACCAGAGCCAUAGCUUGGAGAGCUCCAGCUGUGAUAGUUGCUCAGAAUAAACUGAGGAACUCCUCCUGGAAUCUGUUUGUACCAACAAGCUAUUUGGUCAGUCACAGUCCCCAGGUUACAGUCCAUGGUGGCUGUCUCUCCUCUCCUCAGAGUCACAACAGGAGGCUUCUGUGUCACCAGCGUCACAGCACUCACACCUGGAAACAACAAGAUGACAUGGAGUCAAGAGAAACACACAGACUGAUGAAUCCAACAUGAGCUCAAAGCUGCAGUAAGUCAGCCUCCUUACAUGUUAGAGCAGUGAUGAGAGUGCACAGGGUCCCCAGCAUGUUGUCAGUGUGUGCUGUAAACGUCCCUUACUGUCCAGCUGAGAGGUGAGCA